Molecule: ribosomal RNA, 427 nt
Filed under: uncultured Gammaproteobacteria bacterium
Lineage: Bacteria; Pseudomonadati; Pseudomonadota; Gammaproteobacteria
Description: bacterial SSU rRNA
Rfam family: Bacterial small subunit ribosomal RNA
Source: RNAcentral
AACGCGAAGAACCUUACCUGGCCUUGACAUCUGUCGAAUCUUGCAGAGAUGCAGGAGUGCCUUCGGGAACGACAAGACAGGUGCUGCAUGGCUGUCGUCAGCUCGUGUCGUGAGAUGUUGGGUUAAGUCCCGCAACGAGCGCAACCCUUGUCCUUAGUUGCCAUCAUUUAGUUGGGAACUCUAAGGAGACCGCCGGUGACAAACCGGAGGAAGGUGGGGAUGACGUCAAGUCAUCAUGGCCUUUAUGGCCAGGGCUACACACGUGCUACAAUGGCAGGUACAGAGGGAAGCCAACUCGCGAGAGGGAGCCAAUCCCAGAAAGCCUGUCGUAGUCCGGAUCGGAGUCUGCAACUCGACUCCGUGAAGUCGGAAUCGCUAGUAAUCGCAGAUCAGCAUUGCUGCGGUGAAUACGUUCCCGGGCCUUGUA